CGGGGUGUAGCUCAGCCUGGCCUAGAGCGCCUGGUUUGGGACCAGGAAGUCGGAGGUUCAAAUCCUCUCACCCCGA
Molecule: transfer RNA, 76 nt
Filed under: Pseudomonadota bacterium
Lineage: Bacteria; Pseudomonadati; Pseudomonadota
Description: Proteobacteria bacterium (freshwater sediment metagenome) tRNA-Pro
Rfam family: tRNA
About the family: Transfer RNA (tRNA) molecules are approximately 80 nucleotides in length. Their secondary structure includes four short double-helical elements and three loops (D, anti-codon, and T loops).
Source: RNAcentral